Molecule: ribosomal RNA, 557 nt
Filed under: Pseudomonas koreensis
Lineage: Bacteria; Pseudomonadati; Pseudomonadota; Gammaproteobacteria; Pseudomonadales; Pseudomonadaceae
Description: bacterial SSU rRNA
Rfam family: Bacterial small subunit ribosomal RNA
Source: RNAcentral
GAGGACUUUGCUCCUGGAUUCAGCGGCGGACGGGUGAGUAAUGCCUAGGAAUCUGCCUGGUAGUGGGGGACAACGUUUCGAAAGGAACGCUAAUACCGCAUACGUCCUACGGGAGAAAGCAGGGGACCUUCGGGCCUUGCGCUAUCAGAUGAGCCUAGGUCGGAUUAGCUAGUUGGUGAGGUAAUGGCUCACCAAGGCGACGAUCCGUAACUGGUCUGAGAGGAUGAUCAGUCACACUGGAACUGAGACACGGUCCAGACUCCUACGGGAGGCAGCAGUGGGGAAUAUUGGACAAUGGGCGAAAGCCUGAUCCAGCCAUGCCGCGUGUGUGAAGAAGGUCUUCGGAUUGUAAAGCACUUUAAGUUGGGAGGAAGGGUUGUAGAUUAAUACUCUGCAAUUUUGACGUUACCGACAGAAUAAGCACCGGCUAACUCUGUGCCAGCAGCCGCGGUAAUACAGAGGGUGCAAGCGUUAAUCGGAAUUACUGGGCGUAAAGCGCGCGUAGGUGGUUUGUUAAGUUGGAUGUGAAAUCCCCGGGCUCAACCUGGGAACUGCAU